Molecule: RNA transcript, 5182 nt
Organism: Loxodonta africana (African savanna elephant)
Lineage: Eukaryota; Metazoa; Chordata; Mammalia; Proboscidea; Elephantidae
Gene: YTHDF1
Gene name: YTH N6-methyladenosine RNA binding protein F1
Exons: 6
Source: RefSeq, a predicted model, not a curated record
CGGCGCCUGGGGCCCGGCCGCGCGGAGGCCCGAGCCGGCGGGCGCCCCGGCCCGCGCCGCCCGGCUGUUCAUGAAGCAUGUCGGCCACCAGCGUGGACCCUCAGAGAACGAAAGGACAAGAUAAUAAAGUACAGAAUGGUUCUUUGCAUCAGAAGGAUACUGUUCACGACAAUGACUUUGAGCCCUAUCUUUCUGGACAGUCAAAUCAGAGUAACAGCUACCCCUCAAUGACGGACCCCUACCUGUCCAGUUACUACCCUCCGUCCAUUGGGUUUCCUUACUCCCUCAAUGAAGCCCCGUGGUCAACCGGAGGGGACCCUCCCAUUCCGUACCUCACCACCUAUGGACAGCUCAGCAACGGAGACCAUCACUUCAUGCAUGAUGCUGUUUUUGGGCAGCCCGGGGGCCUGGGGAACAACAUCUAUCAGCAUAGGUUUAAUUUUUUCCCCGAAAACCCUGCCUUUUCUGCAUGGGGGACAAGCGGGUCUCAAGGGCAGCAGACUCAGAGCUCAGCGUAUGGAAGCAGCUACACCUACCCGCCUAGUUCCCUGGGUGGUACGAUUGUGGAUGGACAGACAGGUUUCCACAGUGACACACUCAACAAGGCUCCCGGGAUGAACAGCUUGGAGCAGGGCAUGGUGGGCCUGAAGAUUGGGGAUGUGGCCACGUCAGCAGUCAAGACUGUGGGGUCUGUCGUGAGCAGUGUCGCGAUGGCCAGUGUUCUUUCUGGCAAUGGGGUAGCGAACGUGAACAUGCCAGUUUCAAAACCCACCUCCUGGGCUGCCAUUGCCAGCAAGCCGGCAAAGCUACAGCCCAAGAUGAAAGCCAAGAGCGGGCCCAUGAUGGGCGGUGCCAUGCCACCCCCGCCUAUCAAGCAUAACAUGGACAUCGGCACCUGGGACAACAAGGGGCCUGUGAUGAAGGCCCCAGCUCCCCAGCAGACGCCGUCCCCCCAGUCGGCCCCACAGCCACAGCAGAUUGUCCAGCCUGUUCUGGCCCAGCCGCCAGCUCUGGCCCAGCCGCAGUACCAGAACACUCAGCAGCCACCCCAGACCCGCUGGGUGGCCCCACGCAGCAGGAAUGCAGCAUUUGGGCAGGGCACAGGGGCUAGCAGCGAUAGUAACUCUCCUGGAAAUACCCAGCCCAACCUGGCCCCAAGUGUGGAAUCACACCCUGUUCUUGAGAAACUGAAAGCUGCCCACAGCUACAACCCUAAAGAGUUUGACUGGAAUCUCAGGAGCGGCCGCGUGUUCAUCAUCAAGAGCUACUCGGAGGAUGACGUCCACCGCUCCAUCAAGUAUUCCAUCUGGUGCAGCACGGAGCAUGGCAACAAGCGCCUGGAUGGUGCCUUCCGCUCCCUGGGCAGCAAGGGGCCCGUCUACCUGCUCUUCAGUGUCAACGGGAGCGGACACUUCUGUGGCGUGGCAGAGAUGAAGUCGCCGGUGGACUAUGGCACCAGUGCAGGGGUCUGGUCUCAGGACAAGUGGAAGGGGAAGUUUGAUGUCAAGUGGAUUUUUGUCAAGGAUGUGCCCAACAACCAGCUCCGGCACAUUCGGCUGGAGAACAACGACAACAAGCCCGUCACAAACUCCCGUGACACCCAGGAGGUGCCCUUGGAGAAAGCAAAGCAAGUGCUGAAGAUCAUUGCUUCUUAUAAGCACACCACCUCCAUCUUUGACGACUUUUCCCACUAUGAGAAGCGCCAGGAGGAGGAGGAGGUGGUGCGCAAGACAGUCACUUCCAAGAGUGCUUAAAACCUUGAAGACUUUGAGUGAUCCAUCCAUUUUAAGUUCAGAUGUUGACGCCCUCACGCACGCAGAGACGUCCUCACACACGCUCCGCUGGCGCUGGCCGCAGGUGUUCCGGCCUCAUCAACACGGGGCUGGGGAGCCACCCUUGAUCUGGGGACUGGAUGAAGUCGAGUGCCUGUUAAUUGAGGAACGGCAGAAUCGAAACAAACAAUAAGAAUAAGCCCGUUUCACAUAUGUUCCAACAUUUGACUUUGAAAAACAAAGUUUAAAAAACGUAUGUCUGGUGCUGUCUUCCGGCGCCAGCUCCGCCGUGUCUUCUCGCGCAGGGAUCGAGUUGUUGCAUCUCUAAGUUCUUUGUAGUUGAUUUUGCCCAGAUGGGUCUGCACUUGUUUGUAUGUUUUCUAUGUAUUAUAAUAUUGUAGAGCUCACUAAUAAAGGUGUAUUUUUUUUUGUCAGUUUAUCAAUCAGACUGACCUAGUGCAAAAUACAAGCAUCCUUAAAAACAAAACAAGAACCUAAUACAGCCCAAAGAUUUUUUUUAUUUUGGCAGAAAUUAUGUUAUUAUAUUUACAGUCAUUUAAUAUCUCUAAGUGAGGCUUCUUAUUUCUUGCCCCCUUAUUGCUUCAUAGCAAACAUAAGAAACCAUGAAUUGUUUUGUCAUUUCGAGGGUUCUAUUAAAAUACUUCUAUUAGAUACUGAAGUCAGAAGGUUGACAAGAACCUUGGUCGGCUGGGUUGCUGUUUUUUUUUAUCUGUUGGUGUUUGUCUUAAAGGCUUAUCUGCCCAUUUGAUUUUUUACUAGACAGAAAGGGAAAUAGAAUUUUAAUUUCUCAAACUUGGUGAAAACUGUGGUGUUUUCUUGGGGACGCCCGCUCUUCCUUAGUCAGUGGACCAGUCCCGCAGGCUGCUGUCCCCCCGUGGCUCUGUUGUCAGUGGCUGCAUGGUGAUAUGACUCGUUGUGCUGAGGUUCUGCAGACCGCUCUAGAUCUGGCUCAGCAUUGAGGUUUGCGUUUUGCAGACCAUUUAAUUUCCCUUGAGCCUCCUGAGUUUAAGUUCCACACCAGAGCUGCCGGGCUUCACGGAGGAUCUGGGCGCGCAGACGGGCCACCACGCCAGAGCUGCCGGGCUUCACGGAGGAUCUGGGCGCGCAGACGGGCCACCACGCCAGAGCUGCCGGGCUUCACGGAGGAUCUGGGCGCGCAGACGGGCCACCACGCCAGAGCUGCCGGGCUUCACGGAGGAUCUGGGCGCGCAGACGGGCCGUGGUGUGCCUGUGUCACUUUGACCGUGUGGGUCUGAUUUUUUUUCCUGUUGAAUGUGUUAAAAAAAAAAAAAAAGGCAAAAAACAUAGAACAAAACCCUUGCAGAACUGAUUUGCUGUUGUGUUUUUGUGGCGUGAGGGAGCCACUGAAGAACCCACCACCACCAAGCCGGAGUUUGCUCAUGGAAGCGGUGCUCCUGCCUGUCGCUCCGGCACCCCGCGUCUGCACGUGCCCACCACACCAGAGACAGGGCUCUGGAGCUACAUGCCACAGCCUCUCGUGUAACGUACGCUGCAUUACUUAGACUUGUAUUGGAACGUACCACCUUCUCCGAGCUUCUACUGCCGUGUGGAGUAACGGGCAGCGCUGGAUAACUGUCCUCUAGGAGAAUACAAGCCUUAAUAAACAAUUCCUAUUUAGCACGUUGGGUGUCACGUCGUUUUUUACCUUGUUGCAUGGGCUGCUGUUUUGUAACUGCAAAGCUAUUUGAAGGGUCACUCUCCCAUACCCGUGGUCCUCUGUCUGCCGAAGGGCCAUUCCAGGAAGCAGGGGGUUGAUGGCCCCUGAGACUGUGUGAACUGUGCUGUACCUUCACGUCCUCAUCACACGCUCUCGAGCAGCGCUUUUACAGACUAGGACUCGGAAUGUGUAACCACAGCAUUUGUGUACAAGCAUUUCCAAACACAGCAAAGUUGAAGCAUUCUGCGGUGACUUACGCCCACCACCCAGACCCCACCACUCUUGGCUUCCUCCACCUGGUUUCUCUCCUGUCCCUCUGCCUACUCUUUAGUCUCGUUUUUUAUGCAUUUCAAACUGCAGACAUCAGUACACACCCUCUGAAUCACUCACGCGUAUCACGAGUUAAAUAUUGGUUUGCAGGGUGUUUUGCUUUCGAGCUGAACCACAUGGAAUGACAUGCACCAGUCUUAGGUGUCCCUCCGCAGGCUUUAGCGGUGAGAGAGCUGGACAAAGUGAUGGCCUCGUCCCAGGCAGGCACGCCUCGCUGGGAGGUGUAGUCACUGGUGUGAGGAAGAGAACACGCCACGGAGGUCCCUGCUCUGACAGGCCCCAGGAGGGGAGUCACCCCACCCAGAGAAGAUGGCAAUAAAGACACAACCCCAAAUUGGUCUCAGGUUACUGCUGCGCUUUUAUUGUAGGAAGUGCUUUGUGGACCUCCAGGGGUUAAUGCUCUCGUGUCUGGCUGCCAUUUCUGACCUGGGUUCCAUCGCUGGGCCCCUCUAAAUAUGACAUAAUUCUUGGUAAUGGCUGGCCGAGUGGCACGCUGACAGUGCAUAUCCCAACAGGGUGCCCCCCUUUUGGGGCCAUGUCUGAGCAGUGAGGAUGGAGGGAUUGCAUGGACUGGAGGAGGUGGCAGAGCUGUGGGGUGAGUUGUGGGGACUCCAGUCCAGUGGCAUUAGUUGCUAACAGAAUGAACAGAGCUGCCACUAAUGUCACCCACUCUGAAGGCUUCCCCCAAACCCAGGGAGGACUUAGCCACUCCUGCUGAGGGGUCUCUGAUGUUUAAGUACUCGGCUACUGACAGAGAGGUCAAAGGUUCGAGUCCACCCAGAGGUGCCUUGGAAGAAAGGCUUGACAGUCUGCUUCCAAAAAAUCGGCCACUGAAAACCCUCUGGAGCACAGCUCUGCUCUCACACAUGGGGUCGCCUUGAACAGGAGUUGGCCUGACAGGACAGGUUUGGUCUGAUCCCUCUGGUAACACGCAAACCCUUUGACAGAUGUCGGACGCCAAGUUUGAGGGCAGGGCAGGUGUCCAGUCAUCUUGGUCUUCUAGCGCUUAGCAAGACCUGGCUUAAGGAAUCGGGAACAAUUCAUUUAACCGCCAUCAGGUUUUGCUUCAUAAAGCUAUGCAAGUUGUUAGUAUUUCCCACGCCUCUUCCUCAAAGGCACACCAUGUUAAAAGUUAGGCUGCUUAAAUGUCAUAGUGCAUGCUAAGCUCCUGCCUUUGAGGGAGGGGGGUCACCAAGGCCUUCUGAGUCACCAUGGGAUGCUUUUGGUAACCUUUCAUCCCCCAGCCACCCAGCCUGUCAUGUGGGAGAGCGACCAUGGUUAAUGUCUGGAGAUGCCUGUAAUGCCCAGUGCCGUGUUGUGUCCCCAGUUGUCCAGCCCAGGCCCCUUGUCGUCCUCCCCCAAGCCCGGGGACCUUGGGCAG